Long non-coding RNA from Belonocnema kinseyi, 585 nucleotides. RefSeq lists it as uncharacterized. NCBI's taxonomy places the organism in Eukaryota, Metazoa, Arthropoda, Insecta, Hymenoptera, Cynipidae. The transcript is spliced from 3 exons. The record is from RefSeq and is a predicted model, not a curated record.
CUGUGUUUGCUGUGUGACCGCAGCACAAAUAGAAAAAGUUCAAUCAAAACAGAUACUAAAUCCCAUAAAUAUUUCUUCUUAAAAUUUUCAAGAAUGAAAACUACCAGUACUGAUGUGGAUCAAAUUGUCCAAGAAAUUCGCAAGUUAAAGACUGAGAAUAUCAGAAUUAAAAUGUUAUUCACGGAAUAUAAACUACAGGUGAAACAAUGCCUUUCUGAAAGGGAAGAAUUAAUAAAAAAUUACAUCAGUGAAAAUUUAGACACGCUAGAGAAGAUUAAAAUAGGAAAAAAAAAUUUAAGCAAAAGCGAUCAGAAUCUGAAAAAAAUGAUGGAAACAAAAAUAUAUCUUCUUAAAAAAAACAAAGAGAAUGUUAGCUGCUGAGAAAAACGAAAAUCAUGCGGAGAUGUCUGAUUCUGAGAAAUCAAAGAGCCCAAGUCCCAUUGAAGAAAACCGAAGCCCAAAAUAGAGCCGAAACUUAAAUCUAGAUCGCUUAAAGUGAAAAAAUGUAUAUUUUGAGAAGAAAAAUUGAACUUCAAUUACAAACUGAUUAAUUCUUGGAAAAAUACAUUUAUAAAACAAUAAAUA